AACGAACGCUGGCGGCAUGCCUAACACAUGCAAGUCGAACGAGAUCCUUCGGGGUCUAGUGGCGCACGGGUGCGUAACGCGUGGGAAUCUGCCCUUAGGUUCGGAAUAACAGUUAGAAAUGACUGCUAAUACCGGAUGAUGACGUUAAGUCCAAAGAUUUAUCGCCUGAGGAUGAGCCCGCGUAGGAUUAGCUAGUUGGUGUGGUAAAGGCGCACCAAGGCGACGAUCCUUAGCUGGUCUGAGAGGAUGAUCAGCCACACUGGGACUGAGACACGGCCCAGACUCCUACGGGAGGCAGCAGUGGGGAAUAUUGGACAAUGGGCGCAAGCCUGAUCCAGCAAUGCCGCGGGAGUGAUGAAGGCCUUAGGGUUGUAAAGCUCUUUUACCCGAGAUGAUAAUGACAGUAUCGGGAGAAUAAGCCCCGGCUAACUCCGU
Molecule: ribosomal RNA, 435 nt
Filed under: uncultured bacterium
Lineage: Bacteria
Description: partial 16S ribosomal RNA
Rfam family: Bacterial small subunit ribosomal RNA
Source: RNAcentral